RNAcentral lists this long non-coding RNA (212 nucleotides) under Olea europaea (common olive). Its description in RNAcentral is "long non-coding RNA (OEUR_LNC009312)". The record is from RNAcentral. Lineage: Eukaryota; Viridiplantae; Streptophyta; Magnoliopsida; Lamiales; Oleaceae.
UUUUUCAAAUUUCAAAUUCGGUAAACCUUUUACAAAAUAAUUUUUAAAAUUUUUUGAAAGAAGAUCCAUGUUUAUAUGUCCAAGUUUUCUAUGCCAUAACCAUAAUUCUUCUUUCAAGCUAAGUAAACAUUUUUCGUUAUUUUCCAAUUCAAUGUUUAUAAUAUAAACAUCUUUACUUCGGCUUCCUAUAAAAAUUACCUCUUUCGAUGUAG